This is a long non-coding RNA of Bubalus bubalis (water buffalo), 1502 nucleotides long. RefSeq lists it as uncharacterized. The transcript has 4 exons. The record is from RefSeq and is a predicted model, not a curated record. NCBI's taxonomy places the organism in Eukaryota, Metazoa, Chordata, Mammalia, Artiodactyla, Bovidae.
AAGAUCCCACUGGAGGAAGGAAAUGGCAACCCACUUCAGUAUUUUUGCCAGGAUAAUCCUGUGGACAGAGGAGCCUGGUGGGUUAUCAUCCAUGGGGUCGCAGAGAGAGACGACUGAAACAACACGCAUGCACCACUUGAUUCCAAAUGCUUUAAAGGGAUGUGCAGAGCAAGAGGCAAAAAAAGAUAGUUUGAGAUGUGAAGUUCAGACGCAGGUGCGCUGCCCCUCUGAGCUCACCAACUGCGGGGCGCGGUACCUUCCAGUCCUUUCCAAGCCACAGAAAGCUUGUUUGAUAGUUCUGCAGAUUAAUCACAGCUGACCCUGCUGUUCCACUGCUGAGUUCUGCCCAAAUGCCUGCGAAGGCGUCCCAGAGCAGCAGGCCACCACUGUGAGAGGCCCAGACAGCAGUGAUUCUCAGCAUGUCAGCGUCUGCAGGCAGCCCAGCACCCGGGUCGUGGUGACAAGCCCAGACACCGAGUGUCCCGCCAUUCACACAGGUGGUCACUGCCUCCCUUGGAAGCCCUAGGGGGAAGACGCAUGGAUGGGGAGACCCGCUGUUCUCAUGGAAGCCUGGGAUAUGGGCCUGGAAGCAAAGGCACUGGCCAACACAAAAGGGCAAGGGGCAAACAAGAUGCGUCAUUAACCAGGUAGCGGGUGAACGCUUUAUCUGAGCCCUUGGCUGAAGGGCCUGGGCUUAGGGCACGCACUCCAGGCAGAGGCGAGGUGACCACAGAUGAAGCCUGGCCUCGCGGUGCCACCCUUGUCAGCCAGGUUGCUUGUGUCCAAAGAAGCGGCAGUCCCUUUAACCAGGGUGGUCCAGGCCAGAAGUUGUCUUGAGGCUACUGUGAGCAGCUGCGUCCAUCGCAGCUCAGGACGCAGGGGUGGUCCGGGACCCAGCUGUCCGCAUACAUUCAGCGCAGGCGCACUAGCAGCUGGCCUCCUGCAGAAUCUCAAUUUGGAGACUUUGGGUCACUCGAAAGGCAGCAGGCAGGUUUUCCUAGUCUUGCUGUGACUCCAGCUCCUGCUCCGCCUGGCCCCGGGGGCUGGAGCUGCAGCUUCUGCUCAGCCUGGAGAGCCUCCACAAGCUUCUGCUUUACGAAAUUCAGCCCGUCGUGGUACUUAGGUCUGCAAGGGACCAGAAGACCACAUAGCUUUAGGAAUAAAAAUGAAACUCAGCACCCACAGCAAUAAAAGCCUCAAUGUCUAGUCAUAAAACCCAGGAAAGGAAUUGGAAGGAAACUCAUCGGAUGCUCUAAGGACUUCUACUGGGGUGUUGCCCAGCACACGCUAACACUGGGUUUUGGGCAAGCCUUUAAAAUUCACCUGUCCACUAGGUUGUGGCGAAUAUCUCAAACUGAGAGAAUGUGUCAUUUCAUGGUCUUCAGAACUGGAAGCGUCAUGGAAUCAUCACAAAGACACAGCACUCAGCGCUCACUGGCUGCGAUCAGAGCCAGAGGGACCCGUCUCCCCGCUAGGUGUGCAGGAUUCCCUUCCCCAGACCC